RNAcentral lists this ribosomal RNA (253 nucleotides) under uncultured bacterium. Its description in RNAcentral is "partial 16S ribosomal RNA". It matches the Rfam family "Bacterial small subunit ribosomal RNA", at positions 524 to 776 of the family's 1533-position model. The record is from RNAcentral.
UACAGAGGGUGCAAGCGUUGUUCGGAAUUAUUGGGCGUAAAGGGAGUGUAGGCGGUUUGCUAAGUCUUCUGUGAAAUCUACGGGCUCAGCCUGUAACGUGCAGAGGAAACUGCCGGGCUUGAGUGUGGGAGAGGUGAGUGGAAUUCCUGGUGUAGCGGUGAAAUGCGUAGAUAUCAGGAGGAACACCGGCGGCGAAGGCGGCUCUCUGGACCGAUGCUGACGCUGAGACGCGAAAGCGUGGGGAGCAAACAGG